RNAcentral lists this ribosomal RNA (468 nucleotides) under uncultured bacterium. RNAcentral's name for it is "partial 16S ribosomal RNA". It matches the Rfam family "Bacterial small subunit ribosomal RNA", at positions 28 to 507 of the family's 1533-position model. The record is from RNAcentral.
GACGAACGCUGGCGGCGUGCUUAACACAUGCAAGUCGAACGGAAAGGCCCUGCUUUUGUGGGGUGCUCGAGUGGCGAACGGGUGAGUAACACGUGAGUAACCUGCCCUUGACUUUGGGAUAACUACAGGAAACUGGGGCUAAUACCGGAUAGGAGCUCCUGCUGCAUGGUGGGGGUUGGAAAGUUUCGGCGGUUGGGGAUGGACUCGCGGCUUAUCAGCUUGUUGGUGGGGUAGUGGCUUACCAAGGCUUUGACGGGUAGCCGGCCUGAGAGGGUGACCGGCCACAUUGGGACUGAGAUACGGCCCAGACUCCUACGGGAGGCAGCAGUGGGGAAUAUUGCACAAUGGGCGGAAGCCUGAUGCAGCAACGCCGCGUGCGGGAUGACGGCCUUCGGGCUGUAAACCGCUUUCGCCUGUGACGAAGCGUGAGUGACGGUAAUGGGUAAAGAAGCACCGGCUAACUACGUG